GAUCCUGGCUCAGGACGAACGCUGGCGGCGUGCUUAACACAUGCAAGUCGAACGGAGUGCCCCAGACAGAGGUUUCGGCCAAUGGAAGGGAACACUUAGUGGCGGACUGGUGAGUAACGCGUGAGGAACCUGCCUUUCAGAGGGGGGACAACAGUUGGAAACGACUGCUAAUACCGCAUGACGCAUUUGGGUGGCAUCACCUGAAUGCCAAAGAUUUAUCGCUGAAAGAUGGCCUCGCG
RNAcentral lists this ribosomal RNA (239 nucleotides) under uncultured bacterium. RNAcentral describes it as "partial 16S ribosomal RNA". It matches the Rfam family "Bacterial small subunit ribosomal RNA", at positions 15 to 235 of the family's 1533-position model. The record is from RNAcentral.